This 5090-nucleotide long non-coding RNA is filed under the name Homo sapiens (human). RNAcentral's name for it is "HSALNT0389648". The record is from RNAcentral. Lineage: Eukaryota; Metazoa; Chordata; Mammalia; Primates; Hominidae.
GUGAUCUGCCCGCCUCGGCCUCCCAAAGUGCUAGCAUUACAGGCGUGAGCCACCGCGCCUGGCCGUAUUUAUUAAAUGUGUGUUGAACUUACGUACCCGAGCACAGGCUAGACACUAGGGAGGGGAACGGGCGGUGAUUAGAAAUGAACAAGAUCCUGCCAAGAGGAAUUCACAGUCUAGCGCGCGAGGCAGACCAGAAUGGCUGAGGCAAGAAACCUGUGCCAGGGCCUGGAGUAGGCUCAGAGGCUGUUGGUGAGGCAAAAAGCAUGUUGGCUUUGGAGCCCAGCUCAUCUGGUUUCAAAUCCUAGUUCUGUCAUUUACCAGCUACGUGACAUUGGGCACGUGACUCAAUCUCCCUGAGCCUCAGUUUCCUCGUCUAUAGAAUACAGGCAUUAAUACCUACAUUUCAGGGUUAUUGUAAAACUUAAUUGAGGUGAGAAAAAUGUAUGUAGGUGUCUGGCAUAUGGUACUUAAUAAAUGGUAAAUUUUAAAAUGUCUUUGCUUAUUUUGGUAGUCUGAUAGCUUCUAAAGAUAUGUCCAUGUUCUAAUCCCCAGAACCUGUGAAUGUUACCUUAACUGGAAAAUGGGUUCAUCUUUGAGGAUGUGAUUAAGAAUCUUGAGAUGGGGAGAUUAUUCUGGAUUAUCCAGGUGGGCCCUAAAUGCCAACACAAGUGUCCUUAUGAAAGAGAGAGAGAGAGAGAAAUUAUACAUAUAUCAAAGAGUAGAAGGUGAUGUGAAGACAGAGGCAGAAACUGCAGUGAUGGGGCCACAAGCAAAGGAAUGCUAGUAGCCACUAGAAGCUGAAAGAGACAAGGAACAGAUUCUCCUCUAGAGCCUCCAGAAAGAGCAUACCCCUGCCAACACUUUGAUUUUGGUAUAAUAAAAUGGAUGUUGAACCUCUGAUCUCCAGAAGUGUAAGAGAAUAAACUUCAGUUGUUUUAAGACACCAGAGUUGUGGUUAAUUUGUUACAGCAGCCUUGGGAAACUAAUACACUUAUAAUGGAGAUUUAGUCUGGAACAAAACCAAAAGUUCAUGGUCUAGUGGGACAAGAGAGAAGUAAAGAGACAGUGCAUAGAGGCACCCAGAAGGGAGGCACCUUGUCAGAACUGGGGAGUGGAGGAGUAAGGUAGGCAAGGCUGUUGGAGUUGGAGGACUUAGCCAACUGAGGGGCUGAAACAGGAAGGGCAUACCAGGCAGAGAAACAGUGUAGGUAAAGGCAUGGAUGGAAGAAAACACUGCCUUCAGAAAACUGCCCAUGUUUGGGAUGGCAGGUAUGUUGCGGGCUGCGGGGGCAGCAUGACAGAACUGCUGAGGUGGGCAGCAGGGGCAAGAGAGCCAAGGAUCUUGGCUUCCACCCCAGAAUGGAAUCAAACCCUCCACUCUGCCCUGGCACUGGGCCCAGGUCAUACAAUCCCAGACUGUCGGUACUGGAAAAAACCCUUAGAGACCAUCCAGUAGUCUUGCCAUUUCACACAUAGGGAAACUGAGGCUCACAGAAAGUGAGCCAAUCCAGGGAAUAAGCAAGAACCAGAUGGCUGCACUCUGGCCUCUCUCUUGAGCCUGGGUGUCCCAUAUCUGAGGAUCUCAGAGAUACUGUCUGGUGGGCCCUCUGUAAUCCACUUCCAAAAAGCAGUGGCCUUGUGGUCUCUAGACAAAGAGUGUGUUAUUUGCAUAUUAUUUACAUGUUGAUAAUUAGAUGAGAGAGGCAGAUUCUUUCAGGCCCUCCCCUUCAUGUCCCCCUGUCCUAUUUCACUCACAUCAAGUUGUUCUUCCUCAUACCUCUCUUGACCUCAACAACUUCUCCCAGAAUUCCAGCCCAAGCCUCACUCCUCAAGUUUCCGUACCUAGGCCUAGCUCAACCCCUACUAUAUUAAACAUUUGGUCCUGCCUAGCAAAAUUGCUUGGUGGGUCGUUAGUGUAUCUAGUCUAAGUGGAGGAUCUUGGAACAGGUUACAAUGGAAAGGGAGGCUGUCCAGCUUUGAAGUUUUUUCUGGGAGUGGGGAGAAGUGAGCACUGUCUCCUUGUAGCCCAGUGGCCAUCUGAAUGAGGCUGUGGGAGUGGGGGAGGAGGGUGUUCCUUGGAGAUCUGGUGGGCAGGUAUCAGCUGCAUGCCCCAGGCCUGCCCCAAGCCUCUUGGCUGGCAGCCACACCAGCCCCUGAAGGAGCUGGCUCCUUCUUUGAGGGAGGAGGAAUUCUAGGGAAGGUCUUGGAGCAUCCCUUGGCCUGGUAGCCUAACAUGAGUAAGGUGGAUGUCACCAUGUGUGUUACUGUGGACCCUCCAAUGGGGACAGCACAUCCAGAUUCUGAGGGCUGCUGUCAAUCCAGAAAAUUGUGAGGCACUGUGCUAAAGUAAAGCAUGGUGUCUCCCUGAGGGCAGGCACUCAAAAAAUGUUUUCUGAUAAUGAGGGGCUACCUACCUCCUGGAGAUAGGUAAGGAGAGGGAAUCACAAGGAGGCACAGACUCUGCCUCUCUCGCUUCCCAUUAGCCCCUUCUUUCCUUUGAAACCAAGGCUGUUUCCAAAACCUCUCCCAGAUGAGAUGUCUGAGCCUGUCAUUUGGUGAUCACCAGAGAAGGCACCACACUGUGGCCAAGACAGGUGCACAGGAUGACCUCAGGUUCCCCCUGCCCCUGUCCUGGCAGAAGAGCUGCAGAGAUCCAUCACCAUGGCUGACUCAAGCAGCUGCCAGGAUCUGGGAAAUUAGGAUCCACGGAAAAACCUGGGGCACAGUUCAGGCUAGCAACUUGCAGAAGCCAGCUUGCUCUGGGGUUACAAUAGUGUCCUGGAUAGGGAAAGAAAGACCGCCCUCCAUGUGCAGAUAAUUCCUCUCCAUGCAGGGGUGAUGUGUGAGCUAUGUGUAUAUGUGCUGCAGGGACCUCAUCAAGCAUCCCAGCCUGCAUGCACAGCUGUGUGCACACAUCCCAUUGGCAACAAGAGUAUGUUGUGUGUGAGUGUCUUCUUGGAAUUCCACCUUCCCUCUUCUCUGCAGAGCAGGCCUUCUCUUCUUGUUUCCUGGUAAAACGGGAAGUGAGGGAGUAACUUCAGUUUCAUUACCUCUAGCCCUUCUCCCUUGUGGAACAUCCUGUAUUUGGUCAUUUGCCUAUGACAGCAAGGAGUAGAUCCAUUCUUGGUCCAGAGUGAUCCUAGCUCCUCACUGGUCCAGAUGACCCCCAUCUUGAACAAAUUCCUCUGCCCUGGUACCUCUUUCUUCCCUUAGGAUGUCCCAUGCCAAUACCUCCUCUAAUGUCCAAAUCAAAGGGAGGGGUGGGAGGAACUUGGGGUGAUGCUGUGGGUGUGGGAGGAGGAAGGGUGGAUCAGAUACUGUUCGAUUUUGCCCAGGUCCCCUCGGAGCACUGCUGCUCAUUUAAAAUUCCGAUUUAAAGCCGAGCGGCUCUUUAAAUUUCCACAUUAGCAUGCCGCCCUGAUGCCAGGCCAAGAUGUUGGGAUGGAUUUGGCAGGAACGCCUCCAACAGCAGCAAGCAGCAGCAUUUGCCAGCAAUAAAACAACGCAUGAAUAAAAGAAGGCCGCUUGGCAGCAGCAGCAGCCCAGGUAGCUGGGUGAGCCCAAGAGGGGCAUUCAUAUGUGGGGGCUCAGAGGCAUGAAGGCCCAUGCAGGGGCAUGUGUGUGUGAGGGCUUCUGUGACUGUCUUGGCUUUCACCCCCAAUCUAUGCCUGCAGUGGAAUCUGGGGUGAGGGCCCAGGCAAGAUCAGGAUUUCUCCCUUGUGCCUGUCUCACCCUCCUCCCCCCAGGGGUUAUCCUCUUGGAGGGGACAGAUGUUGCCUUUGAUAAGGACACAAGGACUUGGCCUGAAGCCUUGAGUUGUCCUGCUUCAUUAGGGCCCAGAGAACAGGUGGGGUCAGAGAGAGCAACACUGCCCAGAGUGGCUUCCCAGAUCCAGGACCCUAGAUACCUGGGUGCUGACGGGCACUGUUAGGAUAAGGGGGCUGAGAAGCUGCUGUGAGCACUGGGUAUUGGCACUGAGCUGGAUGAAGAGAUGCUCUGGGCUGGGAGAUGGGCAAACGUCUGUGUGCUUGUUCAAGGUUAAGAAUGGGGAAUAGCCACAGACAGCAAGGAGCUACCACGUUUGUGCUAACUUUAACUCUUAACAGAUUUGGGAACAUUGUUUGAGGUCAGAUGGUAAGGGCAGCAAAGGAGUCAGAUAAAGCCCUGGGCUGGAGGCUGGACACCUCAUAAAGGUCAUUUUAUCUAUACCCUGCUUCCCAGGGUCUAGGGAGUACAGCCCCAAAGGACUGGCUGUUCCUGGAUUCUGUGUUCCUCUGCUCCAAUCACCUGGCCGAAGCUCAUCAUCUAGCUCCCCAGACAUUUUCAGGAUCAAGCAGCCUGUCCUGCAUCUGGUAAACUGCCUAUCCCUCCUACUUGGUUUAACCAUCUCUUUCCCUGAAGUCCAGGGUAAGAGGACAGAAGCAAACAGAGGGGUGGCAACAGAUGGUCUCUGCAGUCUCGGCAAGGCAAAAAAGAGGGAUUUUCUUCAGAGCACCUUCCUCUGAUGGAACUCCCCUCCCUUUCCAGCUCACAUGAAUGAUUUCAGGCCUCCAUGUGGGGAAAAACUGUUGAGACUUUGAAUUAUCUCAGUCCCUGGAAAGGCUGAAGAGCAGACAGGCAGGACCAGGCUCUGGCACAGCAAUGGCCCCAUACCCUGAAACUAGGACUGGUCCUGUCCUGAUGAGGGAGAACAAGGUGGCCUGACCUCCCAGGUACUUUGUUCCCUGGUCCACACAUUGGGGUGGGUGAGCUCAGGGUGAGGGAGUGGCUAAGAAGGGAGUUUAGGCCAGAGAGAUGUUCUUUUGUCAUUUAUUCAUUCAUUGAACAAGUAUUUACAAAACAGCUGCUUUAUGCUAGGCAUUGUUUCUGGGCACUGGGAACACAUUGGUGAACACAGAUAGAAAUGGUCACUGACCUUGUGGAACUUUCCAUCCAAUGAAACUAGGAUCAUUAUUCAAAUGACUGGACAAAUACAUAGGAAAUAACUGUGUUAAGUGCUCUGAAGGAAUGAUAUAUAGUACCAUGGAAGUGUGUAACUGGGGGACUUGACUGAGUCUAAGGAGUUGAGAAUGAGUUUGCAAAGGACA